CUGCCCUUUUACGCUCACUAUAACCUUCAUGGAGUCAAGUAUACAGUCAUGUGUUCUCUUCCUGCUCGAAUGUUGAUGUGCUUCCUUUUGUGAUGCGUGAGCAUUCUUCUCCCCAUUCAAAACCUCAAGCUUAAUGGAUCUCGUGAACUGAUUAUCUGCCGAUAGCUUCUCCAACAUCUCUGGUUUCUUCUCUUUUGCAAGCUCAACCGAUCUCAAGAACACCUGAUUAUCUGCUGAUGGCUUCUCCAACAUCUCCAGUUUCUUCCUUUUUGCAGGAGCAUGCUUCUCUACUGUCGAAACCUGAAGCUCAACCAAUACUGAGAACACCUGAUUAUCUGCCGAUAGCUUCUCCAACAUUUCCACUGUGCUGUUUAAUUUCUGCACAUCCUUGUUGGUUGAGAGCAGCAUAUUGGCAGCACUGUGGAAGUACUUUAUAAUACUUGACACAGCAAUCUUUGUGUAAGCUAGAGGACCAAGUGUACCUAUAUUAUGGUUGAUGCUCUUGCUGGCUUUGGUCAAGGCUCGCCACCGGAAGUCGAAAAGUACCUCAUCACCCUCUAUGCCAGCUUCCUUCAGUUUCUCCUGCCACUUGAGUAGAUUGGUCCCGGUGAUUUCGUGCUUCUUAGAUGCUUCAACUGCACUGUUGAUCUUUAUGCACAGCAUGUCCAGCUUGCGCAGCUUGUCAUCGAUAGCUGUCUGCUUGUUGAUCAUUCCAAUUACCUUGGAGAUGGCCCUUCUUGUGAUCUCGUUGAUCACUACAGAGCCAACUUGUCCUGCCAUUGCUUAAUGAGCUUGUAUGUAUAGCUAGAUCAGACUAAAGGAUGAGAAGGGAUUAUACUGGAUAGUGGAUAUAUAGCAGUGGUCAGCUGUUUAAUAAUCCCCUAGAGUUUUAAUUUAUGAUAAGCCAAUUGUAGUGAUACAAGGAAACAGAAAUGAAUGGAGAAAAAGAGGUGACCUGUGGCAUAGUUUCUGCCAUCCACUUACCACCCUAGAGAUAUUCACUGAGACUGAAAAUUGAUUGGGAGUAAGAGGCCUUGCUUGCAUAGUUUGUGUCGGCCAAGGUGGAAUGGAUGAAAUGGGGUUGGGGAAUUCGCGCAGACAGCUUAGUUACACUAGAUUAUGCAGGAAAUGUCAAGAACCAACCAAAGUAUUCUCUUCUAUUCCCUACAUAGAGUCAGGGCAAAAAUAUUCCAGAGUCAGCAUUACAAGUCAAGUAUUACAUUUGGCACCAACACCUUGGCAAGUGCCGGAAUUCCAGUCCACAUGUUCAGUUUCUAAUGCAUAUGCAGUAUGAAACAGGAAGUAUCUUUAGCAUGGUCCUUUACCGGUGUGACUCAGUUUCUUUAAGGUUGGUUUCUGGUCAUGGAAUCUGUGAUUCACAGGUUGGUUUCAACCAAGAAGGGUGCUGCUGCCAUGCUUCAGCGGGCAAAAAGGCCACGUUAGGAACAUGAGGUUGAAGAAGAAAGUGGUCGUCCCAUUUCUCCACAUUUAUUUCAGAAAUAUUUAGAGAACUCUCUUCAGAAAAUAUAUGCUUAGAGAACCAAGGGCGCCUCAUUGCUUUUCUUUCUCUCUUCUGGAACAGGCUAAUAUGGAAGACUCGUGUUUGGCUUAACAUGGGAUGGAAUUGGUGAGGCUAACAGAAUGAAGUCAACCGGCUCAUGGGCUGAAGCAUUCCAUGUCCCCAGCUGCUAGGCUCUAUGGUAUGCACAAAGCCGUGAAAUCCAUCAGUGGCUGCGGCUUGAGCGACGGUGAGGGUCCGUCGGCCUUCCGCCACCCAUUGCACAGUUCAACGAUAUUAAUGGCCAUAUGCAGAUCCUAGCCAAGGCCCUUUAAGCGGGGGUUUGUCAGUUCCUGGAGCUCCUGACCACCUGCUGUUUCAGCCAAGGACAUAUGCACCUUGAAGCUUAUCUGUCGAUGUCAGCAUGUAUAGGGCUAAUCCUCAAAUUGACCAUGAUGUGUUAACAACCAUACAACAUCUUUGCUUGAGGUUCGACAUGACCUCUUGUUGGAGCAGUAUUGUCCGUCACCUUCUCAAGCGUUUCCAUUGUGCUGUUGAGCUUCUUCAUGCUCUCAUCGCUGGAAAAGGAUGACACCAUAGUGGUGCGGCGUACUAUGGCGCCAUGCUGGGUGUCGCUGUUCCAGUGAGCGGCUUCUCUGACAUCCGAGGCUUGAAGCUGAGAAGCACCUCGUCACCAUGGGAGGCAGCCUUCCUUGAGCUUCUGCAGUCAUUGGACCAGCCUGGUGCUCUUGAUCGUGUGCUUCUCCAACACCUCAAUCUGCGAAUCCUGAUGGGAACAGCUGCCAUCUUCAGGUUGAGCUUCUCCAGGAAUUUGGACAUCGCUCAACUACAGCGGUGAUGGUACUACCAACCACUUCCUGGGCCAUGGCUAGCACUCAAACAGGGCCUCCUUGAGCUUCUCCCGACACUGGACCAGCCUGUUGCUCUCGUUCGUCUGCUUCUCCGAUGAUUCGAUUACGCUGCAGAUCCUGACAGGAGCAGCUCCAGCUGCUGAAGUUUCUUGUCAGUGGCCAUAUGCGGAUCGAGGUUCUCCAGGAACUUCCACACUGCCCUGUCCGAGAUCACAGCGGUCACUGAUGCGGUGAUGGUACCAACCACUUCUUGUGCCAUGGCUAGCUCAAACAAGGAAAUGUCAAGAACCAAUCAAGCCAUCAAGGUCUUCUCUUUUCCUCCCAACAUAGAGUCAGGGCAAAUAUUCCUAAGGCAGUAUUACAAGUCAAGUAGUAUUACAUUUGGCACCAGUGUCGGCCGUCAAGUGCCGGAAUCUCAAUCCACACGUUCUGUUUCCAUGCACAUGCAGUAUGAAACAGUUGCUGCCAACCAAGAGGGUGCUGCCAUGCUUCAACAGGCAAAUGCCGUAUUACUAUAUUAGGUUGCCAUGGGGAGGGAGCCUUCUUGAGCUUCUCCUAGCACUGGACCAGCAUGUUGCUCUUGAUCCUGUGUUCUCUGACACCUCAAUCUAAGGAUCCUGAUGGGAGCAGCUACAGCCGAUGCAGUUUCUCACCAGCGGCCAUCUGCUGGUUGAGGUUCUUCAGGAAAUUUGGACACUGGCCUGUCAGGUGGUGAUUGUACCAACCAUUUCUUGAGCCACGGGCCCACAGCUAGCUCUCAAACAAGCAAGUCGCACAAUGACAUGUUUGACAUCCAACAGUGAGAAGAUCUAGCAGUUCCAGCGAUCACUAACUCCUUGGAGACAUGGCAGGAGAGGCAGUUAACGCUGUGGUUUUGGCUGUGACUAGCGAGCUCACCAGCAGAGUGUUCUCCGGCCUGAUACAGAGGUACGGUAAGGAUGCAGCCACCAGGGAGAAGCUGCAGCGGCUAGAGAUGCUGCUAAUCAAGAUCAACAGCGCCGUUGAGGCGUCUCAGAAGCGCACCAUCAAGAACUAGUGGCUGCUCCAGUGGCGCGACAAGCCAGCCUUGCAAGGCAUGGAGGUUCUUGCCAGUUUCACACAGCGGGUCAAGGAUGCUGAAGAGACUAGCGACACCAAUAACCCUAACCAGCAGCAAGGCGAAGCAGCUUCUUCUUCUGCUUCUGCUCCCGCUACAGAUGUAGGUCCCCUGUCUUUCAGGAAGCAUUCUCUGUCCGGUAUGUUGCAGGGGAUUCGCAACACUAGAGCAAUUCUGUUCUCGAGUGGCAGCGGCGACACGGUAAGGCUGAACAAGACAUUGGGAAGUUUAGAAAUGCUGUCACCAGACAUCAGUGAGUUCAUAAGUUUGCUUCACCUUGAGGCCUUGCCAAAGGCAACUCAAACACAUUACGGUGGAUCAUUGUCGACAUGGAAGACGAGGAAGAGGAGAAGCUCGACCAGACAUAGAAAUCCCUCAGUGGAGCCUAGCUUAUUUAGUUUAUCGACAAAGUCGGACAAGACAGAAGAAAUGUCACCUGAAGAAAAAUACCCCCAGAAGUGCGACAACAAGCAUAUCUUCGACAACAAAUACUCCCAGAAGCGCAACAACAAGCAUAUCUUCGAGUUGGCGUGUAAGAAGUUAGCACUUUACCAGAAGGAGCAAGAGUUUGUGCUCCUGCGUCACAGGCUUGAGGCAGCAUUCGGCGAGAUCUCCAAGGCCGUCGAGCUGGCUGACAGCCGCGACUUCGAAGACCUGGAGUGGCUAUCGUAUUGGGCUGGCAUCCUCAUGGAGGCGAAGGAACAAGUCCGGGAAGCCCUUGGCGCCACCGUCGAUGCAAAAGAUAAGCAGGAGCGAUGCGAGCAAGAAGAUGAACUCAGCAGUUUCGUCCAUAGACUAGAGGGGUUAGUUUGGGAUGCAGAAUACUUCAAGAAAUUGGUAGACCUCUGCCCUGCAUUCUAGCCUCUUGUUAUUAUUGUUGAAUAUAUAUGGUGUAUUGCCAGCCUUUUCCUCGCAAAGGAAGAUUCCACGUGAAACAAUUGGUGCAUUAAAUUUGUUGUACUCAUUUGUUUGUCUUCCUAUCCAGUUCACGCAUUUUGUUGGCCUUUUAGAUCGUUUCUUUAGCUUCCCUCUGGUCUAUUUUAUAAACCUUAUCUUAAGAGCCUUAUUCUAAGGCCGGGCGAUAGCCUCGUUUCUAAAAAAAAUCUACUCCCUCCGUCCCAGAAUAUAAGAACGUUUUUGACACUACACUAGUACCAAAAACACUCUUAUAUUAUGGGACGGAGGUAGUAAGUAUUUGUCCUCAUUUAACAGCAGACUGCAGAUUAGCAUUUGUGAUGUUGUGAAUACCACUUUCCUUGUGGGAAAUACCUGAAGAAACAGUCAAAUAGUAGAAGAAACAUUUGUUUGUGUAGAAGUUUGGAAAUAAAAAAAUAUACUGCAGAGAACCAUCGCCACUGCUUGCGACGACAGAGUUC
This is an RNA transcript of Triticum aestivum (bread wheat), 4842 nucleotides long. RefSeq lists it as uncharacterized. Lineage: Eukaryota; Viridiplantae; Streptophyta; Magnoliopsida; Poales; Poaceae. The transcript is spliced from 5 exons. The record is from RefSeq and is a predicted model, not a curated record.